This 460-nucleotide ribosomal RNA is filed under the name uncultured bacterium. RNAcentral's name for it is "partial 16S ribosomal RNA". It matches the Rfam family "Bacterial small subunit ribosomal RNA", at positions 338 to 795 of the family's 1533-position model. The record is from RNAcentral.
CCUACGGGAGGCAGCAGUGAGGAAUAUUGGUCAAUGGCCGGAAGGCUGAACCAGCCAUGCCGCGUGAAGGUCAGUGCCCUAUGGGCGUUAAACUUCUUUUGUGCGGGAGCAAUAAUGGUCACGUGUGGCCAGACGAGAGUACCGUACGAAUAAGCAUCGGCUAACUCCGUGCCAGCAGCCGCGGUAAUACGGGGGAUGCAAGCGUUAUCCGGAUUUAUUGGGUUUAAAGGGUGCGUAGGCUGUGAGGUAAGUCAGCGGUGAAAUGCCCCCGCUCAACGGGGUGAAGUGCCAUUGAUACUGCCUGGCUGGAAUGCGGAUGCCGUGGGAGGAAUGUGUGGUGUAGCGGUCAAAUGCAUAGAUAUCACACAGAACACCGAUUGCGAAGGCAUCUCACGAAUCCGCGAUUGACGCUGAUGCACGAAAGCGUGGGUAUCAAACAGGAUUAGAUACCCUUGUAGUC